This 268-nucleotide ribosomal RNA is filed under the name uncultured bacterium. RNAcentral's name for it is "partial 16S ribosomal RNA". It matches the Rfam family "Bacterial small subunit ribosomal RNA", at positions 333 to 618 of the family's 1533-position model. The record is from RNAcentral.
UUAUGCCUACGGGGCGCAGCAGUGGGGAAUAUUACACAAUGGGGGAAACCCUGAUGCAGCGACGCCGCGUGAAGGAUGAAGUAUUUCGGUAUGUAAACUUCUAUCAGCAGGGAAGAAAAUGACGGCACCUGACUAAGAAGCCCCGGCUAACUACGUGCCAGCAGCCGCGGUAAUACGUAGGGGGCAAGCGUUAUCCGGAUUUACUGGGUGUAAAGGGAGCGUAGACGGCAUGGCAAGUCUGAUGUGAAAACCCGGGGCUCAACCCCGG